GACGAACGCUGGCGGCGUGCUUAACACAUGCAAGUCGAACGGAAAGGCCCUGCUUUUGUGGGGUGCUCGAGUGGCGAACGGGUGAGUAACACGUGAGUAACCUGCCCUUGACUUUGGGGUAACUUCAGGAAAAUGGGGCUAAUACCGGAUAGGAGCUCCUGCUGCAUGGUGGGGGUUGGAAAGUUUCGGCGGUUGGGGAUGGACUCGCGGCUUAUCAGCUUGUUGGUGGGGUAGUGGCUUACCAAGGCUUUGACGGGUAGCCGGCCUGAGAGGGUGACCGGCCACAUUGGGACUGAGAUACGGCCCAGACUCCUACGGGAGGCAGCAGUGGGGAAUAUUGCACAAUGGGCGGAAGCCUGAUGCAGCAACGCCGCGUGCGGGAUGACGGCCUUCGGGUUGUAAACCGCUUUCGCCUGUGACGAAGCGUGAGUGACGGUAAUGGGUAAAGAAGCACCGGCUAACUACGUG
RNAcentral lists this ribosomal RNA (468 nucleotides) under uncultured bacterium. RNAcentral's name for it is "partial 16S ribosomal RNA". It matches the Rfam family "Bacterial small subunit ribosomal RNA", at positions 28 to 507 of the family's 1533-position model. The record is from RNAcentral.